This 1501-nucleotide long non-coding RNA is filed under the name Callithrix jacchus (white-tufted-ear marmoset). RNAcentral describes it as "lncRNA (ENSCJAG00000055351.2)". The record is from RNAcentral. Lineage: Eukaryota; Metazoa; Chordata; Mammalia; Primates; Cebidae.
GUCAUGUGACUGGUUGUCAGUCAUUUCCCCAGCAAUUCCAGCUGGCUUUUGUGAGGGGAAGUGUAAGCAACAUGGGGAGGGAGAAGCGCUGGGCCACCAUAUGUUUCAGUCACCUCCCCAUCCUGAGAGGCCUCUUUCUAAGCACCAAGACGAUAACACCCCAGCCAAGGACGAAAGCCUCAGCACAGCUCAUUGUUCACCUGCAGGAAGGUUGCCCACCCAACUCAAAGAAAACGGGUCUCACUUCUCUCGCCCAUAACUUCAUUGAGAAAUCUAGCCACAGCUCCACACAGGAACCACAAGGAUGCCAAGAACGGGAUGUGGCCAGCUUCUCUGUCACUCCAACGCUGGCCUUUCUGGCCAAGUCAGCCAUUUGGCACUCCUCCCCGGAUGUGUGUUGGGAUGCAUUAUGCUGUAUUUGGCCUGGACUAUGGCCUAUGCUCUGUCCUCCCUCUUUCUCUGUCUGCACUCUUUCUGAGAAGCCUAGAGGCUUCCUGGUUUGACUUGGUAUCCUCAACAUAGAACACUUCCCAGUCCAGCAGGGCGGAAGUUCAUGGGGAUCCGUUUCCUGUCUGUUUCUUCUCCACACCUGUUCCUGGAUGGUUGAGCAGGUGCCAUGAAGGUGGAGCUCUGGGCUUCCAUACCCACCCGGGACAGGGAAGCUUUCUCAGUCUCCGUGUCCCACUGGAUGGCUGUGUGGCUGCCCUCUGGCUUCUCCAAAAGGUGCUGGUGCAAUUCAUCUGCACUUCUCUCGUUCUUGAGGGCCAUCUGUCACUAUGCCCCUGGGGAAAGUGCCUUCAAGCACUGAAUCUUUUGGCUGCCAUGGAUGCCAGGGAGCAAGCCAAGGGGACUGGGUUUUGCUGGGGGCACAUGUUGUUGCAUCAGAGGUACCUGCUGGGUGUCGGGGUGGGGAAACCAUGCCUUGAGGUUGCUGACAUCUUUCUCUGCCCCAGUGAGGCCCUUCCGGCCCCUCUCCAUUGUAACCUCAUCCCUGCUUACCCAGUGGGAUACAAAAUCGGAUUCAAAGGGGAAUAGGGAAAGCCCAUCGGGCACCCUGAAGCUUCUCCGCUGUCAGGAACCAAAGCAGAAGAGCGCUGGAGGUGGUCCUGAGGACAAGAGUCUUAUGGAUUUGACCCCAGCUUUGUCGCACAUACUCCCAUUUUCCACGGCUCCCCAAGCAGCUGCUUUGCCACCCAGGUGGUGGGUGGGGACACCAUGUCUUGGGGUUGCUGAGGUCUUUCUGUGUCCAGUGAAGCCCUUCCUGCCCCUCUCCAUUGUAACCCCAUCCCUGCUUACCCGGUGGGAUCCAAAAUCGGAUCGGAAGAGGAGUGGGGAGAGCCCAUUUGGCACGCUGAAACUUCUCCUCUGCCAGGAGCCAAAGCAGAAGAUCGCUGAAGGCGGUCCUGACAACAAGAGUCUUAUGGAUUUGACCCCAGCUUUGUCACAUUGGGAUCCAAAAUUGGAUUUAAGGAGGAGUGGGGGAGCCCAUCUGCCACCCUGA